This is a non-coding RNA of Mycena maculata, 94 nucleotides long. Lineage: Eukaryota; Fungi; Basidiomycota; Agaricomycetes; Agaricales; Mycenaceae. The record is from the annotation of a GenBank genome assembly.
GGCCCAUUAGCAUAGUGGUUAUGCGUCUGCUUUAUUUAGGAAAAGUGGGACCGAUGUCCUGUGGAUGAUGUGGGUUCGAAUCCCACCUGGGCCU